This 467-nucleotide ribosomal RNA is filed under the name uncultured bacterium. RNAcentral's name for it is "partial 16S ribosomal RNA". It matches the Rfam family "Bacterial small subunit ribosomal RNA", at positions 28 to 506 of the family's 1533-position model. The record is from RNAcentral.
GACGAACGCUGGCGGCGUGCUUAACACAUGCAAGUCGAACGGAAAGGCCCUGCUUUUGUGGGGUGCUCGAGUGGCGAACGGGUGAGUAACACGUGAGUAACCUGUCCUUGACUUUGGGAUAACUUCAGGAAACUGGGGCUAAUACCGGAUAGGAGCUCCUGCUGCAUGGUGGGGGUUGGAAAGUUUCGGCGGUUGGGGAUGGACUCGCGGCUUAUCAGCUUGUUGGUGGGGUAGUGGCUUACCAAGGCUUUGACGGGUAGCCGGCCUGAGAGGGUGACCGGCCACAUGGGGACUGAGAUACGGCCCAGACUCCUACGGGAGGCAGCAGUGGGGAAUAUUGCACAAUGGGCGGAAGCCUGAUGCAGAAACGCCGCGUGCGGGAUGACGGCCUUCGGGUUGUAAACCGCUUUCGCAUGUGACGAAGCGUGAGUGACGGUAAUGGGGAAAGAAGCACCGGCUAACUACGU